CCUACGGGUGGCAGCAGUAGGGAAUCUUCCACAAUGGGCGAAAGCCUGAUGGAGCAACGCCGCGUGGGUGAAGAAGGUCUUCGGAUCGUAAAACCCUGUCGUUAGAGAAGAAAGUUCGUGAGAGUAACUGUUCACGUUUCGACGGUAUCUAACCAGAAAGCCACGGCUAACUACGUGCCAGCAGCCGCGGUAAUACGUAGGUGGCAAGCGUUAUCCGGAUUUAUUGGGCGUAAAGGGAACGCAGGCGGUCUUUUAAGUCUGAUGUGAAAGCCUUCGGCUUAACCGGAGUAGUGCAUUGGAAACUGGGAGACUGGAGUGCAGAAGAGGAGAGUGGAACUCCAUGUGUAGCGGUGAAAUGCGUAGAUAUAUGGAAGAACACCAGUGGCGAAAGCGGCUCUCUGGUCUGUAACUGACGCUGAGGUUCGAAAGCGUGGGUAGCAAACAGGAUUAGAUACCCGUGUAGUC
This 465-nucleotide ribosomal RNA is filed under the name uncultured bacterium. RNAcentral describes it as "partial 16S ribosomal RNA". It matches the Rfam family "Bacterial small subunit ribosomal RNA", at positions 338 to 795 of the family's 1533-position model. The record is from RNAcentral.